AGCACUUGUAUGGGUUUUUGUUGGACUAGUGGACAAAAGCUUAAAAAACAAGUGCAAAAGCAAAUCCUCUUUUGCAACCCAGAACUCAUUGUUGUAUGGGUUUUGUUACAUGUAAGAAGGAAUACC
This is a small nucleolar RNA of Psammomys obesus (fat sand rat), 126 nucleotides long. RefSeq annotates it as small nucleolar RNA SNORA40. The record is from RefSeq and is a predicted model, not a curated record. The transcript has a single exon. NCBI's taxonomy places the organism in Eukaryota, Metazoa, Chordata, Mammalia, Rodentia, Muridae.